CCAAGCUUCAAGACUCUAGGGUUAAUUCCAUUGAAGGUAACUUCCUUUGAUAUUGGUAUUGUUCAAUUUUGUUUUUCCGGCUUCUGGUUGCUAUUAUAGCUUGUUGUUUUUAACGGUUACUAAAGAUAUGUUCAAAUUCAUACCAGCACUCCAAUAGCUAUUGCUUGAAAUCUGUUUUCUACCUGUGGUUAUUAAGUAUAUAUACUUAUAAGGUGUCCUUUAUUGCUUUCUUAAAUUCUGGGUAGUCUGCUAUGCAAUGAUGGCAUUGGCAGAUUUCGUUGCAGUAUUGAAAUGUAAAUAUAUUGAACAGAUCAAAUGGUAAGAUUAGUUAGCUUUCUUCCUGAUUACGUUUUCUCUUCCAUUUUCAAUGCUAUGUCUACCACGCAUUCUCAUGUCCAUGGUGCCUUUUUUGUUUGAUGUGAAGUAAAUUUCCACACGGGGUGGGGCAACGAGGUUGUGGCAACUUGGUGGCAUGGCUGCCGAUCAGCCAAGCAAGACCUACUCUCUCUACACCUCCGCAUGGUUGCUUGUUGCUGCUAUCAACUUCUCUAUCAUUGUUGGAAUGGGUCGGCGAUAAAAACUGCAAGUCUCCUUGCGCAUAAUCUCUUUUCGUUUGAAGCACAUUUCCGAUUUGAGCUAAGUGACAGUUUGAUUGAUAUUGGCGUGAUGGCUAAGGUCGAGGCUGCCACGUACUAGACCACCGCCAUGCUCAACGUCGAGGAGUGCGGCAGCACCGUGGCCAGGGCCAUAGCGUUCGGUGCCGAGAACGUGGCCAAGGGGAUCCUAUGGUGCGGGGUGAUAACCGUGAACAAGCUCCACCGGGCGAACGAGGUCAGCCCGGAGAUGCUCGGGCAUAUCAAAAUGCUUCAUGUGCGUAUAUGUGACUAUUUGCUUAUGGUGAACUUGAAGAUAGUCGUUAAGGUAUUCAUGGUGGAGGGAAAGGUUGAUGCUGGUCCUGGUCCUAUUUAUGCAACCGGCGUGGAAUUCAAGGAAGAAGGGCAUUUCGAACAAAGAAAUCAGCUGGUUUAGUGCCAGGCUCCUUGCUACUGUAGCUGAUGGGGAACACUGCUAUGGCUGCUGCACGGUGGCGGGGUUUGGGCAUGCCGCUGGUGCUCCAUCAGAUUGGUGUGGAUGCCUAUGCUCGGAAUCUGUUGUAUCUACGGGUUCCCAGGUCCCCUUGCUAAUUUUAUAGUGAGCUAGCAUUCUAGAUCUUUGGGGGAGGAUCCUCAACGGAGCCUCCAUGGAGGGGAUAGGCACCCAAAGGUGUUGACUUUGAUGUGGCCGUCGUGCUGACCAGAAGUUUCCUCUGGAUCCACACCGCCUAUUUUUUGGACUGGAGAUAUGUUGUCAACAUUUCAAGCAGUUUGCUCGCUCCCAGGGAGAAGGGGUGCCACUUGGCCGGCGAAGUGCUGGCAGCAGGAAGUAUGCCAUCGACAUCAUCGAGAUCCGCUUGAAGGACGGUCGUUGUCCUCUCCAAGAGGAGGGGCCAGCUCAAGGAGGAUACUACUAUGAGAUGGUCUGAUACAUAGAAGACAGACUCAAGCCCCUCUAGGGAAGCAUCCACUAUCCCUGUUCUACUGAUUUCGCCGGAACGUCGACCGCCUAUGCUCCACCUGUGUGAUGACGAAGUGAUGCAUACGGAAACAUGUUUGAUAAGAAUCAGCGUGCCAAUAUGGAAUAUAAGGUGAGUGAGUAUUGUGUAUGCUGAGCCUUCCAAAC
This is a long non-coding RNA of Triticum aestivum (bread wheat), 1719 nucleotides long. RefSeq lists it as uncharacterized. The transcript is spliced from 9 exons. NCBI's taxonomy places the organism in Eukaryota, Viridiplantae, Streptophyta, Magnoliopsida, Poales, Poaceae. The record is from RefSeq and is a predicted model, not a curated record.